This 168-nucleotide small RNA is filed under the name Arabidopsis thaliana (thale cress). Its description in RNAcentral is "ATSL098480". Lineage: Eukaryota; Viridiplantae; Streptophyta; Magnoliopsida; Brassicales; Brassicaceae. The record is from RNAcentral.
AGGAAUGAUCAUGUGAGCAAGCAUAAUACUUCACAAUAUGAUAGUAGAGGAUGAACGAGAUAGGUACACUAACUUUGAUGCAUCUCAACUCACACAACAAGAAUCAACCAGCUCUUCACAAGUGGAUUUCAACUAUUCUACAUAUAUGCCUUCAAAUCUCGGUAUUAU